CAGCAGUGAAAGCUGUCAGCACCUUUCUUUCAUUCCGCUGUGGCGACACCGAAUCCCAUAUGGGAUCUAUGAUAUCCUGGUCUAUCAAGUGGGAUCGUAACCAGGUCUUUGAGCGUAGCUCAAAUGAAGUGAGUCUGUUUUGGGGUUACAUCUACAGAGAGAAGAGAGGCUUCCUGUCUAUCUGUCACCAGCCUAUAAAACAGGCUUCCUGCUCGCUUCAGGAUGACACCUUUGAUGACAUGGUCUUCGAUUCACUCAACAAAUGGGCUGAAUGCAGUUUUAUGGACAGUAGUGAAUGCACCCUCAGGCUCUCCCUCUCUCAUCUGAGUCGGAUAGAAAAUGUACUGGAGGCUGAUGGCUCCUCUGAGGAUUCUUCAGACAUCACCUGUGCUGGGUCUUGCCAUGAGCAGGCCACUGCCUGUAGAGGUGGCAACACCAAAAGCAGGGAGGAUGGAGACCUGAGUGUCACCACAAGUCAUGGCUCAGGUCAACCAAAGAUCUCUCUUUGGGCGCAGCUACCGUUGGAUCGCCUGCCAUGCAGUGAGCCCAUGGAUGAUAUGGAGCCUUCGGCAACAUCUACUUUUAACCAGGCCAACCAAGAACAAUCGCAGGGACCCAAGACAGUCAGUCUGUCACAUUGUGAGAGACGCAUCAAAAACAAAGUUGCGCACAAGCGCUGGAGACUGGGCUUCUUGAUGAUCAAAAUUGUGAGGAUGCUGCUGCCAGCAAGGCUUAAAACACAAACGCCAACUUCUCUCAGAGUCA
This is a long non-coding RNA of Clupea harengus (Atlantic herring), 765 nucleotides long. The record is from Ensembl. Lineage: Eukaryota; Metazoa; Chordata; Actinopteri; Clupeiformes; Clupeidae.